Molecule: non-coding RNA, 909 nt
Organism: Delphinapterus leucas (beluga whale)
Lineage: Eukaryota; Metazoa; Chordata; Mammalia; Artiodactyla; Monodontidae
Source: RefSeq, a predicted model, not a curated record
AGAAAAGUUUCGUCGAACUCCCUGUACUCUCUUUGAUGUCUCCUCGACUUCAGUUUUUCGCUUGCUGUGGCCAACAAGGCUGUGAACCUCACUGAAGGCUUCCCCUAUAUCAGUCGAUGUGGAAAUAGCCCACCUCAGAGCUGCAUCUUCAGCCAAGUGCUCAACUUGGGAGCUGCUUUGGCCGCCUGGACCUGCAUUCUCCGUUACCACCAGCUUCGGGACUGGGGGGUCGGAAAGUGGCCUAACCAGCUGAUCCUGUGGACGGGGCUCCUCUGCGCCUUGGGCACCUCCAUAGUGGGCAAUUUUCAGUAUGAUGUCUGAUUCCAAACCUCUCCCGCCAAAAGGCAGUGGAAGCCGCAGGGUGUUUAGACAAGAGGCUGCCUCCAACUUAACAAAAAUUCCCCAUGACAUUUGCAUAGCAAAUCAUUCACUUAUCAUGUAUUCCUGUGUUCAUUAACCUUUUUUCUUUAAGUUUUUCCUUUAAUUAUUAUAUCCCCCCCGCAGAAGCUUUUUUUUUUUUUUUUUUUUUCCCGCUGCUCCCUGCCUCAUGUGGGAUCUUAGUUCCGGAUCAGGGAUCCAACCCGAGCACCGUGCGGUGGAAGCCCGGAGUCCUCACCAAUGGACUGCCAGGGAAGUCCCCAGAAGACUUUUUUAGACAUUUUCUCCUAAUCAUCCUUUCCCUCCAUGAAGAUUUUAUUUUUUCCCUAAUAUUUAUUUAUUUGGUUGCGUGGGGUCUUAGUUGCGGCAGGGAGACUCCUUAGUUGCAGCACGCGGGCUCCUUAGUUGUGGGCUGUGGCCUCCUUAGUCGUGGCUUGCCGGCUCCUUAGCUGUGGCAUGCAAACUCUUUGUGGCGGCAUGCAUGUGGGAUCUAGUUCCCUGACCAGGAACUGAACCCAGGCCCUUUGCAUU